This 247-nucleotide non-coding RNA is filed under the name Lactobacillus kefiranofaciens. RNAcentral's name for it is "T-box sequence". It matches the Rfam family "T-box leader". From Rfam's summary of the family: Uncharged tRNA acts as the effector for transcription antitermination of genes in the T-box leader family. T-boxes are found upstream of many aminoacyl-tRNA synthetase genes and some amino acid biosynthetic genes usually in Gram-positive bacteria. The anticodon of a specific tRNA base pairs to a specifier sequence within the T-box motif, and the NCCA acceptor tail of the tRNA base pairs to a conserved bulge in the T-box antiterminator hairpin. Lineage: Bacteria; Bacillati; Bacillota; Bacilli; Lactobacillales; Lactobacillaceae. The record is from RNAcentral.
CUGAAAACAAAGAGAAAGAAGAGUAAUUCAAUUUGAAUUUACAGCGAAUCCCGUUAGGUGUGAGGGGAGAAAGGCAAAAUUGAAUGAAAAUCACUUUCGAGUUCUAUUUCUUAACUUUUAGUAAGAAGUAGUGGGAGCACCCGUUAUAGUGCCGGCGUAUCGCCAAUAUUGAUUGGCCGCACGUCAAAGGUAUUGUUAGUAAUAACAAUAUAAAUAAAGGGUGGUACCACGCUAGAGCGUCCCUCAA